AUAACUGAUGGAAGGCCGGGCGCGGUAAGAGCGUCUCGGGGAGUAGGGCAAGGCGGCCGGGCCCCUCCCAUUCCGCCUUUUCUUCAGCGUCCUGCCCGCGGCACUGGCUGCGGGUGCCGGGCCACCUGCGAGUGUGCGGAGGGAUUCCGGACACCCGCGGCGGCGAGCUGAGGGAGCAGUCUCCACGAGAACUGAGGCGGACCCUCUGGCGCCAUGCGCGCCCUCCCCGGCCUGCUGGGGGCGAGGGCGCCUACGCCCCGGCUGCUUCUCCUCCUCCAGUGCCUUCUCGCCGCCGCGCGCCCAAGCUCGGCGGACGGCAGUGCCCCAGGAGUGAGUCCGUGCUGCUGCACAUGCCCCAGCCUGUGAAUCCAGAGCUCACUACAGGGCGCAUCACAGGACUGGUGGACAGGCUCAACCACUUCCGAGGAAGCACCUUAUAUACCCAAUACAGGUUCACCAUCAUUAACAGCAAACAAAUGGGAAGUUAUUCUUGUUUCUUCUGAGAGGAAAAAGAACGAAGGGGAACAUUUAAUUUCAAAGUCCCUGAACUUCAUGGGAAAAACAAGCCAUUGAUCUCUUACGUAGGGGAUUCUACUGUCUUGACAUGUAAAUGUCAAAAUUGUUUUCCUUUAAAUUGGACCUGGUACAGUAGUAAUGGGAGUGUAAAGGUUCCUGUUGGUGUUCAAAUGAAUAAAUAUGUGAUCAAUGGAACAUAUGCUAAUGAAACAAAGCUGAAGAUAACACAACUUUUGGAGGAAGAUGGGGGAUUUUACUGGUGCCAUGCACUAUUCCAAUUAGACGAGAGUGAAGAACACAUUGAGCUUGUGGUGCUGAGCUAUUUGGUGCCCCUCAAACCAUUUCUUGCAAUAGUGGCUGAGGUGAUUCUUUUAGUGGCCACCAUUCUGCUUUGUGAAAAGUACACACAAAAGAAAAA
Homo sapiens (human) is the source of this 934-nucleotide long non-coding RNA. Ensembl annotates it as embigin pseudogene 1. Its record names the gene EMBP1. The record is from Ensembl. Lineage: Eukaryota; Metazoa; Chordata; Mammalia; Primates; Hominidae.